CUACGGGUGGCACCAGUGGGGAAUAUUGCACAAUGGGCGCAAGCCUGAUGCAGCCAUGCCGCGUGUAUGAAGAAGGCCUUCGGGUUGUAAAGUACUUUCAGCGGGGAGGAAGGGAGUAAAGUUAAUACCUUUGCUCAUUGACGUUACCCGCAGAAGAAGCACCGGCUAACUCCGCGCCAGCAGCCGCGGUAAUACGGAGGGUGCAAGCGUUGAUCGGAAUUACUGGGCGUAAAGCGCACGCAGGCGGUUUGUUAAGUCAGAUGUGAAAUCCCCGGGCUCAACCUGGGAACUGCAUCUGAUACUGGCAAGCUUGAGUCUCGUAGAGGGGGGUAGAAUUCCAGGUGUAGCGGUGAAAUGCGUAGAGAUCUGGAGGAAUACCGGUGGCGAAGGCGGCCCCCUGGACGAAGACUGACGCUCAGGUGCGAAAGCGUGGGGAGCAAACAGGAUUAGAUACCCCAGUAGUC
RNAcentral lists this ribosomal RNA (464 nucleotides) under uncultured bacterium. Its description in RNAcentral is "partial 16S ribosomal RNA". It matches the Rfam family "Bacterial small subunit ribosomal RNA", at positions 339 to 795 of the family's 1533-position model. The record is from RNAcentral.